Molecule: long non-coding RNA, 365 nt
Filed under: Setaria viridis
Lineage: Eukaryota; Viridiplantae; Streptophyta; Magnoliopsida; Poales; Poaceae
Description: long non-coding RNA (SVIR_LNC001709)
Source: RNAcentral
ACAAUUCUCAGGUUACGGAUCCAAUCCGAGUAAUUUGUUCCAUUCAACUUGUCCUUCUCAAGGACCGAACGCAAAGCAAACGGUGUAGUGUUGCUAGGUGCCAUUUAAUCUACAACAAAGUAAUGCAAAAUACACUAAGACAAACGUAUCCAUGAUAGAGCAAAUCACAUUAAACUAUUUUAACAGAAUCUACUCCCACUAAAAUCAAUAUCCCUCUAUUGAAACUUAGUGAUUCAGGAUCCACAACUAACAAGUCCACUAGUGAGCUUUAGCAUCACCGCUAGGAAACAAGGUAGAUCAGUAAGUAACUUUUGCUAAUCAUAUCACAUAUGACUCCUGUUGUUGGGUGACAUCUCUAUGUCUCG